UAGAGAAUAGCCAAGAGAAAUUUUGAUUAAUGCUCUAUACACUUUAAGACUCACAUGAGUCUAAAAGAAAAGCUCCGGCGGUAAAAGAUGGGCAUGCGUUCUAUUAGCUUGUAGGUGAGGUAACGGCUCACCUAAGCUUCGAUAGAUAGGGGUCCUGAGAGGGAGACCCCCCACACUGGUACUGAGACACGGACCAGACUUCUACGGAAGGCAGCAGUAAGGAAUAUUGGACAAUGGAGGCAACUCUGAUCCAGCCAUGCCGCGUGAAGGAAGAAGGCCCUAUGGGUCGUAAACUUCUUUUAUACAGGAAGAAAUCUUUCCACGUGUGGAAAGUUGACGGUACUGUAAGAAUAAGGAUCGGCUAACUCCGUGCCAGCAGCCGCGGUAAUACGGAGGAUCCAAGCGUUAUCCGGAAUUAUUGGGUUUAAAGGGUCCGCAGGCUGUUUGUUAAGUUAGAGGUGAAAUCCUACCGCUCAACGGUAGAACUGCCUUUAAAACUGGCAAACUUGAGUUAUUGUGAAGUAAUUAGAAUGUGUAGUGUAGCGGUGAAAUGCAUAGAUAUUACACAGAAUACCGAUUGCGAAAGCAGAUUACUAACAAUUAACUGACGCUGAGGGACGAAAGCGUGGGUAGCGAACAGGAUUAGAUACCCUGGUAGUCCACGCCGUAAACGAUGGUCACUAGCUGUUUGAUGUACAUUGGUACAUUGAGUGGCUAAGCGAAAGUGAUA
RNAcentral lists this ribosomal RNA (730 nucleotides) under uncultured Bacteroidota bacterium. Its description in RNAcentral is "bacterial SSU rRNA". It matches the Rfam family "Bacterial small subunit ribosomal RNA", at positions 137 to 862 of the family's 1533-position model. Lineage: Bacteria; Pseudomonadati; Bacteroidota. The record is from RNAcentral.